UGGCGCUGCAGCUGCUUAACCACAUGAUCGGUUUCUUUUUCUUUCCUUGGUCGUCUCUUGUUGUGCGGAGCGGCGAUUCGCCAUGGAUGGCCUCGAGUUCUUCUUUGAGGAAGAAGAAUCUGGAUUGGUUCCUAGGCUAGAUGCGGGAGAUAUUUUGGAUGGUGGGAUUGAUGUUGUGGAGUUGUGGUUGCUUCUAUCCAUGAAGCUCGCGGGCCCUCGGCUGAUCUGACAUGUUCUGAGCCCAUGGACAGCAGCGGCGGCGAAGGGCAUGCCGGAGAUGUGGAAGAGGAUGUUGGCUUAUUCUGCAACGGCGGAAGUGAGGUCGUUCGUGACUCAAACGACAUGCCCACUGAUUGCGAGAAAGUUGCAUCUGUGGGAGAAGAUGGAGAUGCAGAUGGUGUCAUCGUCAACAAUUCAAAGGGCUCCUGCUGGAGUCGACGGUAACAGACACAUGUUUGAUUUUGCUCUUAUCUUUCAUCUGUACCACUGAUUCUAGCUUUCUACACUAGCCUGUAGCAAAAGAACACACACCCGUGGGGGUGUUUUUCCACCGUGAACAACCCAAAAAAUGUUUCGUUCUUAUAGUUCUGAUGCUAGCUUGAGAAUCACAAACUUUAAUCCUAGGUGUCACCCUUGUAGAACGUAAAUACAUGAUUCUGCAUCAAUGUUCAGUACUGAAUUUUUAGGGAUUACUCUUCCUAUCUAGGUUUGGACUGCUAGAAAAUAUAGUUAACAACAUUUUGUUGGUGUCAACAAUCACUUCCAAAGCAUUAUUUUUGGUGGUGUGCUGAUGAGCGAUGAGAAAAUCGGCACUUUCAAAUGGAUAUUUACAGAGUUCUUCCAUAUGAUAGGUGCUCCUCAGCCGCGCACAAUCCUCACAAGUAUGAAAGAUUGUUCUCGAUUAAAUGUGACAUUUUGACACUGGCCCUUUUUUCACAGGUGAUGAUCCAGAUUGGUCUGCAAGAGGUUCCGGCAAAACAUGUGCUAAAGCAUUGGAAAAGGGAUGCAAGGGAUAUACUGCCUUCAGAAUUUAUCCGUUACCAGAAAGACAAAGGUCCUCUCAAGUACUCCUAGCGGCGACAUAACAAUCUGCAUCUACUUUGCCUUGAAAUUGUUAGACUUGGUGACAUCAAUGUCGAUGCAUAUACUCUUGUCAUGGAGCAGCUAAGAAAUGCAAAGGCAUUGCUUGAACCGGUAGCCGUUGUACGUGAUGGCAUGGGAUUAUCCGACAGAGAAAUGGCAGGUGAUUCUACAGUCUCGUCUAUAGCGCACAAACAACAUUUUGGUCCAGCGAAUCAGGUGCAGAGAGUCUCGCAAUGUUCAGACAGCUUUGGGGCACCAUCCAAGAAGAGACCAGCGGGGCGGCCUACAACAAGCCGCGACAAAGCGCUAUAUGAACAACCGGCUAAAAGGAGCCGUUUUUGUUCAAUCCGCCGUGGUCAAGGGCACAAGAGCACAACAUGUCCGCAGCGCAGUGAUCUUCCGAAGGCGCCAAGGAAGUCGCCUCGCUGCUUCAGGUGGAGUCUGACAGGACACAGGAGGAACACUUGCACCAACACGCCUAGGGCGGAUUUCUACUAGUGAUGCUGUUAUGUUUUUAUGGUUGAAGUGUAGCAGUUCAUUGAACUGUGCUUAUGUCGGAUGUUAGGCUGCUAGCAACUCUGCACUAUGAUAGUGAGAAUCUGUAUCUGUACUUUGCUGUUGUGUUCGAUAAUUACUCAGAGACUCCGUGAUUUCAGUUUCA
Triticum dicoccoides is the source of this 1744-nucleotide long non-coding RNA. RefSeq lists it as uncharacterized. Lineage: Eukaryota; Viridiplantae; Streptophyta; Magnoliopsida; Poales; Poaceae. The transcript has 2 exons. The record is from RefSeq and is a predicted model, not a curated record.